Molecule: ribosomal RNA, 1346 nt
Filed under: uncultured bacterium
Lineage: Bacteria
Description: bacterial SSU rRNA
Rfam family: Bacterial small subunit ribosomal RNA
Source: RNAcentral
GACGAACGCUGGCGGCGUGCUUAACACAUGCAAGUCGAACGGAAAGGCCCUGCUUUUGUGGGGUGCUCGAGUGGCGAACGGGUGAGUAACACGUGAGUAACCUGCCCUUGACUUUGGGAUAACUUCAGGAAACUGGGGCUAAUACCGGAUAGGAGCUCCUGCUGCAUGGUGGGGGUUGGAAAGUUUCGGCGGUUGGGGAUGGACUCGCGGCUUAUCAGCUUGUUGGUGGGGUAGUGGCUUACCAAGGCUUUGACGGGUAGCCGGCCUGAGAGGGUGACCGGCCACAUUGGGACUGAGAUACGGCCCAGACUCCUACGGGAGGCAGCAGUGGGGAAUAUUGCACAAUGGGCGGAAGCCUGAUGCAGCAACGCCGCGUGCGGGAUGACGGCCUUCGGGUUGUAAACCGCUUUCGCCUGUGACGAAGCGUGAGUGACGGUAAUGGGUAAAGAAGCACCGGCUAACUACGUGCCAGCAGCCGCGGUGAUACGUAGGGUGCGAGCGUUGUCCGGAUUUAUUGGGCGUAAAGGGCUCGUAGGUGGUUGAUCGCGUCGGAAGUGUAAUCUUGGGGCUUAACCCUGAGCGUGCUUUCGAUACGGGUUGACUUGAGGAAGGUAGGGGAGAAUGGAAUUCCUGGUGGAGCGGUGGAAUGCGCAGAUAUCAGGAGGAACACCAGUGGCGAAGGCGGUUCUCUGGGCCUUUCCUGACGCUGAGGAGCGAAAGCGUGGGGAGCGAACAGGCUUAGAUACCCUGGUAGUCCACGCUGUAAACGGUGGGUACUAGGUGUGGGGUCCAUUCCACGGGUUCCGUGCCGUAGCUAGCGCUUUAAGUACCCCGCCUGGGGAGUACGGCCGCAAGGCUAAAGCUCAAAGGAAUUGACGGGGCCCCGCACAAGCGGCGGAGCAUGCGGAUUAAUUCGAUGCAACGCGUAGAACCUUACCUGGGUUUGACAUGGAUCGGGAGCGCUCAGAGAUGGGUGUGCCUCUUUUGGGGUCGGUUCACAGGUGGUGCAUGGCUGUCGUCAGCUCGUGUCGUGAGAUGUUGGGUUAAGUCCCGCAACGAGCGCAACCCUUGUUCACUGUUGCCAGCACGUUAUGGUGGGGACUCAGUGGAGACCGCCGGGGUCAACUCGGAGGAAGGUGGGGAUGACGUCAAGUCAUCAUGCCCCUUAUGUCCAGGGCUUCACGCAUGCUACAAUGGCUGGUACAGAGAGUGGCGAGCCUGUGAGGGUGAGCGAAUCUCGGAAAGCCGGUCUCAGUUCGGAUUGGGGUCUGCAACUCGACCUCAUGAAGUCGGAGUCGCUAGUAAUCGCAGAUCAGCAACGCUGCGGUGAAUACGUUCCCGGGGCU